GUACUCGCUUCAGCAGCACAUAUACUAAAAUUGGAAUGAUAUAGAGAUUAGCAUGGACCCUGUGCAAGGAUGACUUGCAAAUUCAAAAUCUGCAGGCUAGGCAA
This 104-nucleotide small nuclear RNA is filed under the name Castor canadensis (American beaver). The record is from RNAcentral. Lineage: Eukaryota; Metazoa; Chordata; Mammalia; Rodentia; Castoridae.